This 266-nucleotide ribosomal RNA is filed under the name uncultured bacterium. RNAcentral describes it as "partial 16S ribosomal RNA". It matches the Rfam family "Bacterial small subunit ribosomal RNA", at positions 793 to 1055 of the family's 1533-position model. The record is from RNAcentral.
GUCCACGCCGUAAACGAUGGAUGCUAGCCGUUGGCAAGCUUGCUUGUCGGUGGCGCAGCUAACGCUUUAAGCAUCCCGCCUGGGAAGUACGGCCGCAAGGUUAAAACUCAAAGGAAUUGACGGGGGGCCCGCACAAGCGGUGGAGCAUGUGGUUUAAUUCGACGCAACGCGAAGAACCUUACCAGCUCUUGACAUGCUUCGAACGGUUUCCAGAAAUGGUUUCCUCCCAGCAAUGGGUCGAAGCACAGGUGCUGCAUGGCUGUCGU